CAUAAACGAUGCCAGCUAGCGAUCUGAGGACGUUUUUUUUGUAGACUCCUCAGGAAGCUUCCGGGAAACCAAAGCGUGUGGGUUCCGGGGGAAGUAUGGUUGCAAAGCUGAAACUUAAAGGAAUUGACGGAAGGGCACCCCCAGGAGUGGAGCCUGCGGCUUAAUUUGACUCAACACGGGAAAUCUCACCAGGCCCGGACACUGGAAGGAUUGACAGAUUGAGAGCUCUUUCUCGAUUCGGUGGGUGGUGGUGCAUGGCCGUUCUUAGUUGGUGGAGUGAUUUGUCUGGUUAAUUCCGAUAACGAACGAGACUCUGUCCUGCUAAAUAGUGUCAGCCUCUCUUCUUGGGCUGACAAUUCUUCUUAGAGGGACUGGCGGCUCCUAGCCGCACGAGAUAGAGCAAUAACAGGUCUGUGAUGCCCUUAGAUGUUCUGGGCCGCACGCGCGCUACACUGAAUAGAUCAGCGUGUUCUCCCUUCCUGAGAAGGACGGGUAAACCGCUGAACCCUAUUCGUGGUAGGGAUCGGGGCUUGCAAUUAUUCCCCGUGAACCAGGAAUUCCCAGUAGGCGCAAGUCAUAAGCUUGCGUCGAUUACGUCCCUGCCCUUUGUACACACCGCCCGUCGCUACUACCGAUUGAACGUUUUAGUGAGGUCCACGGACUGUUUGCCAAGCGGAUUAUUCUGCCUGGCUGGCGGGAAGUCGACC
This 707-nucleotide ribosomal RNA is filed under the name Pseudhaloptilus pacificus. RNAcentral describes it as "SSU rRNA". It matches the Rfam family "Eukaryotic small subunit ribosomal RNA", at positions 1031 to 1760 of the family's 1831-position model. The record is from RNAcentral. Lineage: Eukaryota; Metazoa; Arthropoda; Copepoda; Calanoida; Augaptilidae.